UUUUGUGCCCGCCCCAUCCGCUAACGGGCAGGUUACUCCGUCCCAACACAGUAGACGAAGGCGGCGGCGAUGGCGGCGGGGAUAGUGGCUUCUCGCAGACUCCGCGACCUACUGACCCGGCGACUCACAGCCUCCAACUACCCGGGACUCAGUAUUAGCCUUCGCCUCACUGGCUCCUCUGCACAAGAGGAGGCUUCCGGAGUAGCCCUCGGUGAAGCCCCAGACCACAGCUAUGAGUCCCUUCGUGUGACGUCUGCGCAGAAACAUGUUCUCCAUGUUCAGCUCAACCGGCCCAACAAGAGGAAUGCCAUGAACAAGGUCUUCUGGAGAGAGAUGGUAGAGUGCUUCAACAAGAUUUCGAGAGACGCUGACUGUCGGGCGGUGGUGAUCUCUGGUGCAGGAAAAAUGUUCACUGCAGGUGUUGACCUGAUGGACAUGGCUUCGGACCUCCUGCAGCCCAAAGGAGAUGAUGUGGCCCGGAUCAGCUGGUACCUCCGUGACAUCAUCACUCGAUACCAGGAGACCUUCAACGUCAUCGAGAAGGUGACUCUAGGGGGCUGGAGGGCAUCCUUCUCCAUACCCGCCUCCCCUGGGCCAGCCUUGACCCCACUCUUCCUGUUCCCUCUCAGUGCCCCAAGCCCGUGAUUGCUGCCGUCCACGGGGGCUGCAUUGGCGGAGGUGUGGACCUCGUCACCGCCUGUGACAUCCGGUACUGUGCCCAGGAUGCUUUCUUCCAGGUGAAGGUGAGUCAUCCUCCCGAGCUCCUGCUUAGAGCUGGGCAGUGGG
RNAcentral lists this small RNA (786 nucleotides) under Pongo abelii (Sumatran orangutan). RNAcentral describes it as "retained intron". Lineage: Eukaryota; Metazoa; Chordata; Mammalia; Primates; Hominidae. The record is from RNAcentral.